UUCGGCGUGCCUAAUACAUGCAAGUCGAACGCUUCUUUCCUCCCGAGUGCUUGCACUCAAUUGGAAAGAGGAGUGGCGGACGGGUGAGUAACACGUGGGUAACCUACCCAUCAGAGGGGGAUAACACUUGGAAACAGGUGCUAAUACCGCAUAACAGUUUAUGCCGCAUGGCAUAAGAGUGAAAGGCGCUUUCGGGUGUCGUUGAUGGAUGGACCCGCGGUGCAUUAGCUAGUUGGUGAGGUAACGGCUCACCAAGGCCACGAUGCAUAGCCGACCUGAGAGGGUGAUCGGCCACACUGGGACUGAGACACGGCCCAGACUCCUACGGGAGGCAGCAGUAGGGAAUCUUCGGCAAUGGACGAAAGUCUGACCGAGCAACGCCGCGUGAGUGAAGAAGGUUUUCGGAUCGUAAAACUCUGUUGUUAGAGAAGAACAAGGACGUUAGUAACUGAACGUCCCCUGACGGUAUCUAACCAGAAAGCCACGGCUAACUACGUGCCAGCAGCCGCGGUAAUACGUAGGUGGCAAGCGUUGUCCGGAUUUAUUGGGCGUAAAGCGAGCGCAGGCGGUUUCUUAAGUCUGAUGUGAAAGCCCCCGGCUCAACCGGGGAGGGUCAUUGGAAACUGGGAGACUUGAGUGCAGAAGAGGAGAGUGGAAUUCCAUGUGUAGCGGUGAAAUGCGUAGAUAUAUGGAGGAACACCAGUGGCGAAGGCGGCUCUCUGGUCUGUAACUGACGCUGAGGCUCGAAAGCGUGGGGGAGCAAACAGGAUUAGAUACCCUGGUAGUCCACGCCGUAAACGAUGAGUGCUAAGUGUUGGAGGGUUUCCGCCCUUCAGUGCUGCAGCAAACGCAUUAAGCACUCCGCCUGGGGAGUACGACCGCAAGGUUGAAACUCAAAGGAAUUGACGGGGGCCCGCACAAGCGGUGGAGCAUGUGGUUUAAUUCGAAGCAACGCGAAGAACCUUACCAGGUCUUGACAUCCUUUGACCACUCUAGAGAUAGAGCUUUCCCUUCGGGGACAAAGUGACAGGUGGUGCAUGGUUGUCGUCAGCUCGUGUCGUGAGAUGUUGGGUUAAGUCCCGCAACGAGCGCAACCCUUAUUGUUAGUUGCCAUCAUUUAGUUGGGCACUCUAGCGAGACUGCCGGUGACAAACCGGAGGAAGGUGGGGAUGACGUCAAAUCAUCAUGCCCCUUAUGACCUGGGCUACACACGUGCUACAAUGGGAAGUACAACGAGUCGCUAGACCGCGAGGUCAUGCAAAUCUCUUAAAGCUUCUCUCAGUUCGGAUUGCAGGCUGCAACUCGCCUGCAUGAAGCCGGAAUCGCUAGUAAUCGCGGAUCAGCACGCCGCGGUGAAUACGUUCCCGGGCCUUGUACACACCGCCCGUCACACCACGAGAGUUUGUAACACCCGAAGUCGGUGAGGUAACCUUUUUGGAGCCAGCCGCCUAAGGUGGGAUAGAUGAUUGG
This 1470-nucleotide ribosomal RNA is filed under the name uncultured organism. Its description in RNAcentral is "SSU rRNA". It matches the Rfam family "Bacterial small subunit ribosomal RNA". The record is from RNAcentral.